This is a long non-coding RNA of Juglans microcarpa x Juglans regia, 631 nucleotides long. RefSeq lists it as uncharacterized. The transcript is spliced from 2 exons. Lineage: Eukaryota; Viridiplantae; Streptophyta; Magnoliopsida; Fagales; Juglandaceae. The record is from RefSeq and is a predicted model, not a curated record.
UGGUGGAAAAUUUUAAAGGAGCUUUAUGGACCGGCUAUGAAACUUGUCUACUUCCAAGCCCAACCCAAGUUUGAAGCGGACCCCACAUAAAAGUGGGCCUUUACCUUUCGAGUGGAAUUAUAUUCAUAGUAUCCAGAGAUAGAGUACACAGUCGAUAUAAAAUCGAGAUCGAAUUACGACGACGGAGCGGGGCAAUAGCAAAUUGGCAAUGGCGUUGAUGAGGGGAGAGCCGCUGGUGACGAAGCUGGCAGUCUUGGCAAAGUACGUUGUUCUUCCUGGGGCCAUGGCCGCUGCUCUCAUCUACUCUCCUCCCCAUUACGGUUACUCCGACAAGUCCAAUAAAUCCAACAAAUAAAAGGCCCCCACAACCUCUCUUUCUAUUUCACUACAAGUUGGGGCCAUCUUGAUCACUUGGGCAUGCAUGUUUGUAAAAAUACACUAUUUUUAUGAAACCGGGGGUAUGUAAUAAAUUAAUAAUUUUCUGAUCAAUUUUUGAAUUUUUCUGUGGUUAUUCAGAGAGAUAAAAUGUGUGGCUCGUUUGGAAGAACUUGAGUAGUAACUUUCUUCUUUCUUUGACUUUGCCCUCAACUAAACUUUAUCCAAUCAAUGCAAGAUUGCCUCAAUCUUAAAA